UUCCAAACAGGAGCAGGGUGACAAAUUUUUACAAACAAAGCCCUCUUUUUUUUGACUGGUUCUCCUUUUCUCUCUUCUAAUAUUUUUCUCUUUCUAGUCUCUCUCCCGUCUUCUCUGCUUCAACUCCCCCUUUACUUUCUUGAAACUUCGGGCAAAUCCUUUUGUUGAAUCCAUCAUCAUCUCUCUCUCCGUCCGUCAUGCACGUGCCGUCGCUCUCGGAUUUCGUUUAUGCUCUCUGGAUUCUGGGCUCGUUCUGGAAGCGGGCGAGUGGGCUCGUAGUGGAGUUUGCGAGGCUUUAGAGCGGCUGGUCUUGGUUGUAUUCGUGGAUUUUUUGAGUGGGGUUCUGGGGAUCUGGGUCGGGAGCGCUGGCUGCGAUUCCGGGCGUCGGGGUUGUCGUAUUUUGAUGGCAAUGCGCGAGAGAUGGGGAGAAUUUUCGUGGAAGCACGGCCUGCUGCGAGUUUUUAAUUGUCUCGGGCAUUGAGAUCGGGUUCUUGGUGAGCAUUGGGUUGGGCGAUCCGGGGGAGAGUCCGGGGUUUUAUGGCGUUUCUUGAGGUAUCAUAGUUUUGGACGUUGGAAAAAAGUUUCUGUUUUAAACAUGUCUUUUCGAUCUUUCUGACAGAUUAUGCCAGUGUCAGAUUCAUUAUUUUGACCGAAAAAUUUAAUUUUGACGACUCUAAAUUGAUCUUCUCUUUCCAAGUCCACUGUCCUUGAUGUAAGAUUUGUGAUGUCUUUUAGGUUCUCUCUAAGGUUUACGAAGCCUGGUCCUGUGUUAAAUCCAGAUGUCAGGCCUCUGGUGAAAUCUGCCGCGCCACCAGUUUUCGAUUGCUAGUUUUUUCUCAGAAUACUUCAAAAACUUAGGAUGCCAGUAGAAUCAUGUCUUGUUUCUUCUUUGCACUCGGGUUAUAUCCAAUUUAUGGAACUUUGAAGUAUACUAUUGGAGGAAAAAAAUGGUUUUUGUGCACUUUUUGAGGCAUCAAGCAGAGGCAUUCAAUAUGAUUUAGACUUCUCUAUUUUGAGGACUGAUCUAUUGCCGAUUUGGGUUCAUCAUUUUAGGUUUUGAGCAUCAAUUUGCGGCUAGAUUUAGACAUCUGUGGUUUUGAGGACUCAUGCAUCCCAGCUUUGGGCUUCAUCUAUUUUAGUAAAUAUAUAUCAAGAGUAUAGCGAGGGCACUGGGAUCAGGUCUUUUUCCUUUUUGCCUAUUGGUCGGUGUGGUUCUUUCAGUGCUUGCUUUGAAAGGUAGUGCUUUUGGUUCUGCAAUGGGGAUCCAAUGUUUCUUUCUAGCUCUCUGAUUGAUGGCAGGCCUUUUGCACCACUUUUUCUUGCAAAUACUUGAGUGAGUGGGUGUUGAGAGGAUCUGGUGGAGUUUGAAAAAUUCUAAAAGUUGGAUUAGUAGAUUGGGGCUCUGGGUCCUCUCUCACGAGAUAUAGGCUCCCAGUCACAAGAAAAGUGUUGGGAACUGUUCAUAUCCCCAACUGUGUGACAAUGACUGUUGCAUGCUAGUUUAUUGAGUAGUAGAGCCUUAUUCUUUUGUGUGUUCGUGGAGUAGUUUUAUGGAUUUUGGGGAUUCUCUUGGAGAGAGGGAGCAGAAGAUCAGAGUUACUCCACAUUGCGUUCCCAACAUGGGUCAUUCCGUGACUGUUUGGGAUCAGAGAUCAGAGAUUGAAUGUACAAAGGACUGGAAUGGAAUCGAUCAUGUCACGCUUAAAGCGCCGCGAGGAGCUUCUGCUCGAGUUAGUUUGCAUGGAGGGCAGGUUGUUUCAUGGAAAAAUGAACGGGGUGAAGAGCUGUUGUUCACUAGCAGUAAGGCGAUCUUUAAGCCACCAAAAGCAAUGCGGGGAGGAAUUCCUAUAUGCUUUCCGCAGUUUGGUAACCGUGGUUCACUGGAACAACAUGGAUUUGCAAGGAACAAGACAUGGAGCAUUGACAAUGAUCCUCCACCUUUACACCCCAAUGAUAGCCAUGGCAAAAUUUCUGUUGAUCUGCUGCUUAAACCAUCAGAAGAUGAUCUGAAGUGCUGGCCACACUGUUUUGAGUUUCGCCUUAGAGUAUCUCUUGCAAUGGAUGGAGACCUCACGUUGAUAUCACGAAUUAGAAAUAUUGAUGCGAAGCCAUUUAACUUCUCAUUUGCUUAUCACACGUACUUAUCUGUUUCUGACAUCAGUGAGGUGAGGAUAGAAGGUUUGGAGACACUUGAUUAUCUGGACAAUCUUUGCCAACGAGAGCGCUUUACAGAACAAGGAGAUGCCAUAACAUUUGAGUCUGAGGUUGAUCGUGCUUAUCUUGGUUCUCCAAAUGUAAUUGCAGUAUUUGACCAUGAAAAGAAACAGACUUUUGUUAUAAGAAAGGAAGGGCUGCCAGAUGUUGCUUGAUGUUUUUCGAUGUACAAUAAAUUAAGAGGGUGUGCUGCAUAAUUUAGCUUCAUCCACAGAUGAAAAUGUGGCGGGAAGCAAUUUGUCUGGAAUCCAUGGGAGAAGAAAUCCAAAACCUUGGUUGAUUUUGGAGAUGAGGAGUACAAACAUAUGCUCUGCGUAGAUGGUGCUGUGAUCGAAAAACCAAUUACCUUAAAACCAGGCGAGGAAUGGACAGGACGGCUGGAGCUCUCCGCUGUUCCUUCCACCUAUUGCAGCGAUCAUCUCGAUCACAUUGGGGGCCGGUGAAGACAGUUGCACCUGUUUGCGCAUUACUAUUUACCGUGUUCAGCAUUUCUACGGGAGAUUUUUAACAUGUAGGAAAUUUUCAUGACAUAGCAGUGCAUGAAAACAUCGCAUGCUAGGAUGAUGUCUUCCAUUGUUUGUUUAUGCUUAAUGGAAUUACUUGAUCCUUAUUAUAGCGUUGUAUGUUGUAACUAAGGACAGGUAGAUUGUAUAAUAGAUUCUUAGAAUAUGACGGUAGGAGCCCGGUGAUUAUGUUGCUCCUAAACUUGAUUAUAUGUUUCUCCUUCUAAACCUGCGAUUCUUCACCUGGAGUCUGCUAACUUCUACGUGCUGAAUCUGUCUCGGUCAACUGUUGCAGUCAUGGUUAGGAUGUUGUCACAGUUGCAAUUGCCUCAACCCUGAUUCUAAGUAGACGUAUAUCAUCAGAAUUAUUGUGGUUUUUGUUG
This is an RNA transcript of Phoenix dactylifera (date palm), 3100 nucleotides long. It is a transcript of the gene named putative glucose-6-phosphate 1-epimerase, with no coding region annotated. The record is from RefSeq and is a predicted model, not a curated record. Lineage: Eukaryota; Viridiplantae; Streptophyta; Magnoliopsida; Arecales; Arecaceae.